RNAcentral lists this long non-coding RNA (1425 nucleotides) under Meleagris gallopavo (turkey). Its description in RNAcentral is "lncRNA (ENSMGAG00000022565.1)". The record is from RNAcentral. Lineage: Eukaryota; Metazoa; Chordata; Aves; Galliformes; Phasianidae.
GCACCUUUCUAGGCAUUUGAAGUCCAUGGGAGCAAGACAACUGAAAAAUAAAAGCAGCUACAGUCUUGUUUAUGGCAUGAAAAUAUUUCUGCAAUCUAGUUUUAUGGUACACUUGACCUUUAACAGUGAUGACUGAUAUAAUGUUUUACUGAGAGACAGUCACUGAGGUGAAUUGUGGCUUUUUAUUCUAGAGCAGUACUGACACUUUCAGCUUAGAAAAGGCUUCCUUAGCAGCUUCUCGGCUGUUUUCUUUGUGCUGAUGCUUAUAUCUUAGAGAGAGAAAGAACUCAAGUUCACAGCUUUUAAGUAUUUAUAAAAAUGAGGCCCUUGCCAUUCUCCCUGUGGACAGGGCCAGGCAGAGAUGAAACACAAAUAAAUCAAGCAUUUUUGUAGGGCUUGUGGCUGCUCUACUCUGCGUACUAAGUUAGCUUUCUGCACGUGUUCAACUCCAGCAGCUAACACAUGUGUCCCUCCAGCCCCUCAUGCUUUCAACCUACUGCUGGGUUGCAGAGGCAGGAGGUAGAGGCUGCUUAAGCUCCUGGAGCAGGUGGAGAGUUCCAUACUCCCCCCUUGGAUGCUGGUGGCACACACUUUUCCUGUGGGUGUGAGAGAGUGGAACCCUCCUUUAGUUCAGCUUGUUGGGUGUGGUAUCCUGCUGCUUGCUUGCAGUAGCUUUUGGGGGUUGGGGGGGAGGAGGGCUGGAGGCAUAGUUGCACAUAUGCAUGCAUGCUGAUGCACAUGCAUGGGUGCACGCGUGGAUCACGCUGCUGUGCACCUGCAUGCAUGGAUGUACAAAUGGGAGCAUGCGUAUGGGUGUGCACUCAGCCAUUCGGGAACCUGCUUUGGCAGGGGGUUGGACUCGAUGAUCUCUGGAGCUCCCUUCCAACUCCUGUGGGUGCAGGUGGGUGCACGCAUGUGCGCAUAUGGAUGUACCCGGGCACAUGCACGGAUGCGCACGCACGUGCACCCGCACACACGCGGCCACAGGCACGCUCCUGCACACCGAGCUGUGCAGUGCCGCAAACGACCGCACACCCUCGCGCACGCUCCUGGCUCACCCGCAUCCCCCGCGCAGGUCCUCGCAGCCCGCCCUGCCUUGCCCCCGCCCCAGGAGCAUCCCGAGGGCGGAGACGCUGCGUUCUCCCGGGACCGCCCGCCGGGCCGAGAAGCGGAGCCUGCCCUCUGGGAGCGAGUGAGACGACCGUGGCACUGCGCGGCUACAGACCGGCCCCCCCAUGUGGGGCUCCGGGAUGGAGGCGUCCGACCGCUGCCGGCGGCACCUUCCCGUUCUGCUGCUGUGGGGAGAGCAAAAAUAAUCAAUGCCACAUCCCUCUUAGCAAAAUCCAAAAUGUGACUGGAGUUGUACUAAUACACUGGGUUCCUGUUUAUUCCAUCCACCUGGUUGUACUGCAAAUUGCUGAUUAG